UACGAAGGGGGCUAGCGUUGUUCGGAAUUACUGGGCGUAAAGGGCGUGUAGGCGGCCCGCUAAGACAGGUGUGAAAUUCCUGGGCUCAACCCAGGACGUGCGCCUGUGACUGGCGGGCUUGAGUCCGGGAGAGGAUGGUGGAACUCCCAGUGUAGAGGUGAAAUUCGUAGAUAUUGGGAAGAACACCCGUGGCGAAGGCGGCCAUCUGGACCGGUACUGACGCUAAGGCGCGACAGCGUGGGGAGCAAACAGG
This 253-nucleotide ribosomal RNA is filed under the name uncultured bacterium. RNAcentral's name for it is "partial 16S ribosomal RNA". It matches the Rfam family "Bacterial small subunit ribosomal RNA", at positions 524 to 776 of the family's 1533-position model. The record is from RNAcentral.